This 69-nucleotide transfer RNA is filed under the name Chasmodes bosquianus (striped blenny). RNAcentral's name for it is "tRNA-His". It matches the Rfam family "tRNA". From Rfam's summary of the family: Transfer RNA (tRNA) molecules are approximately 80 nucleotides in length. The record is from RNAcentral. Lineage: Eukaryota; Metazoa; Chordata; Actinopteri; Blenniiformes; Blenniidae.
GUAAAUAUGGUUUAAUCAAAAUGUAGGGUUGUGAUCCCUAAGAUGGGGGUUAAACCCCUCCUAUUUACC